This 241-nucleotide ribosomal RNA is filed under the name uncultured Gardnerella sp. RNAcentral describes it as "partial 16S ribosomal RNA". It matches the Rfam family "Bacterial small subunit ribosomal RNA", at positions 114 to 354 of the family's 1533-position model. Lineage: Bacteria; Bacillati; Actinomycetota; Actinomycetes; Bifidobacteriales; Bifidobacteriaceae. The record is from RNAcentral.
UGCGUGACCAACCUGCCCCAUGCUCCAGAAUAGCUCUUGGAAACGGGUGGUAAUGCUGGAUGCUCCAACUUGACGCAUGUCUUGUUGGGAAAGNGUUUAGUGGCAUGGGAUGGGGUCGCGUCCUAUCAGCUUGUAGGCGGGGUAAUGGCCCACCUAGGCUUCGACGGGUAGCCGGCCUGAGAGGGCGGACGGCCACAUUGGGACUGAGAUACGGCCCAGACUCCUACGGGAGGCAGCAGAG